CGCAACUUCUGCUUCACUGGAGGACAAUCUGCUCUCAACGGUAGCUUGUGCAUAACGAUAUCGGUAUCCAACCCUGGCAUAUCUUGAUAAGACCAGGCAAAGAUGUCGACAUACUCUUUCAACAGCGCUACCAUUCUGCUCUUGACACUUUCCUCCAAAGCAGCCCCGACUUUCACUUCUUUCUUGACCUCGUCGGUACCGAAGUUCACAAUCUCAACCUGCUCUUCGUGCGGCUGAAUCACCUUCUCCUCUUGUUUCAAUAACCUGGCUAAUUC
This 275-nucleotide long non-coding RNA is filed under the name Lathyrus oleraceus (garden pea). RNAcentral describes it as "Pisum sativum (pea) long non-coding RNA (PSAT_LNC008254)". Lineage: Eukaryota; Viridiplantae; Streptophyta; Magnoliopsida; Fabales; Fabaceae. The record is from RNAcentral.